Molecule: ribosomal RNA, 492 nt
Filed under: uncultured bacterium
Lineage: Bacteria
Description: partial 16S ribosomal RNA
Rfam family: Bacterial small subunit ribosomal RNA
Source: RNAcentral
AGUGAACGCUGGCGGUAGGCCUAACACAUGCAAGUCGAACGGCAGCACAGUAAGAGCUUGCUCUUACGGGUGGCGAGUGGCGGACGGGUGAGGAAUACAUCGGAAUCUACUUUUUCGUGGGGGAUAACGUAGGGAAACUUACGCUAAUACAGCAUACGACCUACGGGUGAAAGCAGGGGAUCUUCGGACCUUGCGCGAGUGAAUGAGCCGAUGUCGGAUGCGCUAGUUGGCGGGGUAAAGGCCCACCACGGCGACGCUCCGUAGCUGGUCUGAGAGGAUGAUCAGCCACACUGGAACUGAGACACGGUCCAGACUCCGACGGGAGGCAGCAGUGGGGAAUAUUGGACAAUGGGCGCGAGCCUAAUCCAGCCAUACCGCGUGGGUGAUGAAGGCCCUCGGGUUGUAAAGUCCUUUUGUUGUGAGAGAAAAGCAGCAGGUUAAUCCCCCGCUGUUCUGACGGUACCCAAAGAAUAAGCACCGGCUAACUUCGUG